RNAcentral lists this ribosomal RNA (371 nucleotides) under uncultured bacterium. Its description in RNAcentral is "partial 16S ribosomal RNA". It matches the Rfam family "Bacterial small subunit ribosomal RNA", at positions 355 to 717 of the family's 1533-position model. The record is from RNAcentral.
UGGGGAAUUUUGGACAAUGGGCGAAAGCCUGAUCCAGCAAUGCCGCGUGUGUGAAGAAGGCCUUCGGGUUGUAAAGCACUUUUGUCCGGAAAGAAAUCCUUGGCUCUAAUACAGUCGGGGGAUGACGGUACCGGAAGAAUAAGCACCGGCUAACUACGUGCCAGCAGCCGCGGUAAUACGUAGGGUGCAAGCGUUAAUCGGAAUUACUGUGCGUAAAGCGUGCGUAGGCGGUUUGCUAAGACCGAUGUGAAAUCCCCGGGCUCAACCUGGGGAACUGCAUUGGUGACUGGCAGGCUAGAGUAUGGCAGAGGGGGGUAGAAUUCCACGUGUAGCAGUGAAAUGCGUAGAGAUGUGGAGGAAUACCGAUGGCG